Molecule: long non-coding RNA, 743 nt
Filed under: Marmota monax (woodchuck)
Lineage: Eukaryota; Metazoa; Chordata; Mammalia; Rodentia; Sciuridae
Source: RNAcentral
AAUUUUAAGAAAUUAUACUUAAUAUAGUUGAAUAUAAUUUCAGGACAUAAGCAUUGCUCAAAUUCACAGGCUAAUUUAUUUGUAAUAAUCUGAAGUAUCUUUAUUCUAGUGAUUGAAGCAGUAACACAUGUUUUUCAUUUGCACUAAUAGUUAAAUGUAUAAAACAGAAACUUAUUAGGUCUCUAUUAUUCAAGGUAGAUUUUAUGAGAUGACAUUGUCACAAAUGCAUGUCAAGUAUAGUACUUCAACAAUAGAAUGACUUUACUUUUUUCCCAGGGCAUUUUUAUGAAGUUCUGUCAAGAAUUUUGUCCAGUUUCCUUGCUGUGAAAAUAUUGACUGCAGAACUCUAAAACAUAUGCUUUUAAACAUUGUGCACUGUUAUCUUCAUAAACACUGAGAGGCUAGUUUGCUAUGAGGAAAUGAAUGUUAAAGAAUAUUUUAAAUUUAUUAAUCUUAAUCUUUUACAUGUUGCUAUUUUUAACUUAGCCUCUUAGUUCAUUUUCACUAUGCUAUUCAUAUUUCAGAGCCUACUACACACCUCAAUCCAAAAAUCUAGUAGCUAAUAAAGUAGGCAUGAAUCUGACCUCAUGUAAUGAAAGUCUAUUGAGGGGAAGCAAUAAGAAAGAACAAAUAAAAUUCCUGCUCAAGAAAGGGGCACAAUUCACUGCCUAAGUAUCUGAUAUCUGGAGUAGUGGACAGGGAAGAUGUUCAUGAGAACAAAAUAAUAUAUAGCUGGAAUUAAG